UACGAAGGGUGCAAGCGUUGUCCGGAAUUAUUGGGCGUAAAGCGCGCGCAGGCGGUUAAUUAAGUCAGAUGUGAAAGGCUACGGCUCAACCGUAGAGUUGCAUUUGAAACUGGUUAACUUGAGUGCAGGAGAGGUAAGUGGAAUUCCCGGUGUAGCGGUGGAAUGCGUAGAGAUCGGGAGGAACACCAGUGGCGAAGGCGACUUACUGGCCUGCAACUGACGCUGAGGCGCGAAAGCGUGGGGAGCGAACAGG
RNAcentral lists this ribosomal RNA (253 nucleotides) under uncultured bacterium. RNAcentral's name for it is "partial 16S ribosomal RNA". It matches the Rfam family "Bacterial small subunit ribosomal RNA", at positions 524 to 776 of the family's 1533-position model. The record is from RNAcentral.